RNAcentral lists this transfer RNA (67 nucleotides) under Ceracris versicolor. RNAcentral describes it as "tRNA-Cys". It matches the Rfam family "tRNA". Rfam says of the family: Transfer RNA (tRNA) molecules are approximately 80 nucleotides in length. Their secondary structure includes four short double-helical elements and three loops (D, anti-codon, and T loops). Further hydrogen bonds mediate the characteristic L-shaped molecular structure. tRNAs have two regions of fundamental functional importance: the anti-codon, which is responsible for specific mRNA codon recognition, and the 3' end, to which the tRNAs corresponding amino acid is attached (by aminoacyl-tRNA synthetases). tRNAs cope with the degeneracy of the genetic code in two manners: having more than one tRNA (with a specific anti-codon) for a particular amino acid; and 'wobble' base-pairing, i.e. permitting non-standard base-pairing at the 3rd anti-codon position. Lineage: Eukaryota; Metazoa; Arthropoda; Insecta; Orthoptera; Acrididae. The record is from RNAcentral.
GGCUUUAUAUUCAAAAAUGAUAUUAGACUGCAAUUCUAAAGGUGUAAAUUAAACUAUACUAAGGCCU